RNAcentral lists this small nucleolar RNA (143 nucleotides) under Meriones unguiculatus (Mongolian gerbil). RNAcentral's name for it is "Small nucleolar RNA SNORA4 (ENSMUGG00000015381.1)". It matches the Rfam family "Small nucleolar RNA SNORA4". From Rfam's summary of the family: ACA4 is a member of the H/ACA class of snoRNA that guide the sites of modification of uridines to pseudouridines. The record is from RNAcentral. Lineage: Eukaryota; Metazoa; Chordata; Mammalia; Rodentia; Muridae.
AUACCAAAAGCUAGAUUUUUGAGGGGAAGGUUUUUUUAAAAUAACCUUAACCAUCUCCUGCUAUUUGGCAGAAUGAGUAAGACCACACUCCACAGUGGGCUAUACCACCUAGUAUGGUUCAUUACUAUCUUGUGGCCUACAUU